RNAcentral lists this ribosomal RNA (427 nucleotides) under uncultured bacterium. RNAcentral describes it as "bacterial SSU rRNA". It matches the Rfam family "Bacterial small subunit ribosomal RNA", at positions 354 to 796 of the family's 1533-position model. The record is from RNAcentral.
GUGGGGAAUUUUGCGCAAUGGGGGCAACCCUGACGCAGCAACGCCGCGUGCGGGACGAAGGCGUCCGCGUCGUAAACCGCUUUCAGCGGGGAACACUUAAACGAGGGUACCCGCAGAAGAAGCCCCGGCUAAAUACGUGCCAGCAGCCGCGGUAAUACGUAUGGGGCGAGCGUUAUCCGGAUUCAUUGGGCGUAAAGCGCGCGUAGGCGGAGCGCUAAGCGGGACCUCUAACCCGAGGGCUCAACCCCCGGCCGGGUCCCGAACUGGCGCUCUCGAGUGCGGUAGGGGAGAGCGGAAUUCCCGGUGUAGCGGUGGAAUGCGCAGAUAUCGGGAAGAACACCGACGGCGAAGGCAGCUCUCUGGGCCGAAACUGACGCUGAGGCGCGAAAGCUGGGGGAGCGAACAGGAUUAGAAACCCUAGUAGUCC